Long non-coding RNA from Cucumis sativus (cucumber), 1106 nucleotides. RefSeq lists it as uncharacterized. The record is from RefSeq and is a predicted model, not a curated record. The transcript is spliced from 3 exons. NCBI's taxonomy places the organism in Eukaryota, Viridiplantae, Streptophyta, Magnoliopsida, Cucurbitales, Cucurbitaceae.
AAACAAAUGUAUUGGGACAAACCAAAAGGUAUAUAUAUAUAUAUAUAUAUAUAUUUUAUUUCAUUUUUAUAUAUAUAUUUUUUAAUUUAAAUAAAUAAAAAAAUAAUAAAGAAAUUUUUUAUUAUUUUUUUUCUUUUUCUUUUAUUUUCUCUCUUCUUCUUCCUCCCCGUGCGCCGCGACUCCCAUCUCCCUUCUCUCCGUUCGCGCAGCAACCGCCGCCGGCCAUCUCCAUCUUCUCUUCUCCUCUCCGCUCCGAUCAAACCCAGCCUCACCGCCGCGUCUCCCCUACUGAAGCCGAACGCCCGAUCUGCCGUCUCCAUCUCCGUUCGCAAAGCAAGACCGCGCCGUUGCUCUUCCGCCGCUGCCCGGUCCAGAUCUGCGUCGCCGUGCCCAGCCUCGCCGCCGCUGCAACCGUUUCCGCGUCCUUGCUCUGUCUCCGUCGAAGCCAAAGCCGCCGCGUGAACCAGUAACCGCCACGUCCUCCGCUCACAACCGCCGUCCAAGCCAGCCGCCGCCCAUUCCUCUCCUUUCUCCUCUGUUUUCAGCCAGCCGCCGCCGAUCCCUUCUCCUCCGUUGUCUGCACUGCCGUGUGACUCUCCGUCCGUCUCUAUACGGUCUCUCCGUCGCACGUCGUCUCUUCGCAAAGCUACUGCUCGACUUCUUCCGCGAAUAACACCUGCCGUGAACCGAACUAAAGACCCCAGAUCCAACUUUCUGCGCGUGGAGUUCCUCCUUCGUCCUGCUGCAGGAUUGGGUCGUUAGGUGUCGUUCCUGCUUUGCCACGAGUCAUUAAAUUCUGAUUGGUUGAAGGUAACGUUUGAAUUCCUUGGGUUCGCAGCAAACAAUUGAUUCUAGUUGGAACUAGUUUCGCGAAGCAAAGGUAAUAAAGGCGGCAAACCGGCGAGGGGCAGGAAGGAAGCGUGAUUGCCAUAGGAAACGUGUUAUUUGCUUUCGCUUAUGGGUUCUUCUGAGGUUUAAGAUGAAUUGAAAUUUAGUUUACAAACGUUUAUUGUAAAUAGUAUUUUUUUUAUGUUUUCUUGAAUGUUUGAAAAUCAUGCCUGACUUAAAGAUGUUUUUAAAUUAGCUUACGUUUCGUUUUAUAUCAA